This 207-nucleotide ribosomal RNA is filed under the name uncultured bacterium. RNAcentral's name for it is "partial 16S ribosomal RNA". It matches the Rfam family "Bacterial small subunit ribosomal RNA", at positions 568 to 774 of the family's 1533-position model. The record is from RNAcentral.
UGCGUAGGUGGUUGGUUAAGUUUGAGGUGAAAGCUCCGAGCUCAACUCGGAAAAUGCCUUGAAGACUAUCUGACUAGAGGAUUGGAGGGGAGAUUGGAAUUCUCGGUGUAGCAGUGAAAUGCGUAGAUAUCGAGAGGAACACCAGUGGCGAAGGCGAAUCUCUGGACAAUUCCUGACACUGAGGCACGAAAGCCAAGGGAGCAAACG